UGGGGAAUAUUGGACAAUGGGCGAAAGCCUGAUCCAGCCAUGCCGCGUGUGUGAAGAAGGUCUUCGGAUUGUAAAGCACUUUAAGUUGGGAGGAAGGGUUGUAGAUUAAUACUCUGCAAUUUUGACGUUACCGACAGAAUAAGCACCGGCUAACUCUGUGCCAGCAGCCGCGGUAAUACAGAGGGUGCAAGCGUUAAUCGGAAUUACUGGGCGUAAAGCGCGCGUAGGUGGUUAGUUAAGUUGGAUGUGAAAUCCCCGGGCUCAACGUGGGAACUGCAUUCAAAACUGACUGACUAGAGUAUGGUAGAGGGUGGUGGAAUUUCCUGUGUAGCGGUGAAAUGCGUAGAUAUAGGAAGGAACACCAGUGGCGAAGGCGACCACCUGGACUGAUACUGACACUGAGGUGCGAAAGCGUGGGGAGCAAACA
RNAcentral lists this ribosomal RNA (427 nucleotides) under uncultured bacterium. Its description in RNAcentral is "partial 16S ribosomal RNA". It matches the Rfam family "Bacterial small subunit ribosomal RNA", at positions 355 to 774 of the family's 1533-position model. The record is from RNAcentral.